Molecule: ribosomal RNA, 274 nt
Filed under: uncultured bacterium
Lineage: Bacteria
Description: partial 16S ribosomal RNA
Rfam family: Bacterial small subunit ribosomal RNA
Source: RNAcentral
CUACGGAGGGUGCAAGCGUUGUGCGGAAUCACUGGGCGUAAAGCGCGUGUAGGCGGCAUCGUCAGUUGGAUGUGAAAGCCCUCGGCUCAACCGAGGAAGUGCAUCCAAUACUGCGAAGCGAGAGUGUCGGAGGGGGUGGCGGAAUUCCUGGUGUAGAGGUGAAAUUCGUAGAUAUCAGGAGGAACACCUGUGGCGAAGGCGGCCACCUGGACGAUAACUGACGCUGAGACGCGAAAGCGUGGGUAGCAAACAGGAUUAGAAACCCUAGUAGUCC